AUACUUACCUGGCAGGGGAGAUACCAUGAUCACGAAGGUGGUUUUCCCAGGGCGAGGCUUAUCCAUUGCACUCCGGAUGUGCUGACCCCUGCGAUUUCCCCAAAUGUGGGAAACUCGACUGCAUAAUUUUGGUAGUGGGGGACUGCGUUCGUGCUCUCCCCUG
RNAcentral lists this small nuclear RNA (163 nucleotides) under Myotis davidii. RNAcentral's name for it is "U1 spliceosomal RNA". It matches the Rfam family "U1 spliceosomal RNA". Rfam says of the family: U1 is a small nuclear RNA (snRNA) component of the spliceosome (involved in pre-mRNA splicing). Lineage: Eukaryota; Metazoa; Chordata; Mammalia; Chiroptera; Vespertilionidae. The record is from Rfam by way of RNAcentral.